CGAGCUCAGAUCCGUAGCAGUCCCCGUGUUUCUCCGGCGGCGAGCCUCAUCCCAGCAGGCAGUGAGUCGACGGCGGUGGGACCAGUUGGGUGACGGUGACUCCACCACCCACUUCCGGGUGGGCUCUCCCAAGCUGCGGCAGUAGAUAAAUAUGAACUCCUAUGAAAGAUAAGCAGCGUUCAGGCUAGUGAGGGGACCCCACAGGAACAUCUGCAGCACAGCCUGUUCCCCUUCGGCCCGUCUGCACAUUGCCACUACCUGAAGAUUCCAGCAGAGAGCAACAGCCGCAUGUUCCUGCAGAGGAACAGAGCCGCGUCACUGCUGAGGCUGAGGAUGCGGAGACCGCGUGUCCCGCCAGCAGGUGGCAGUGUAAGACUGCGCACGGCUGAUGAAGAGCAGAUGGAUGAAGGAGAGCGUUACUCUGCAACAAAGAGCGUUUCAAGGAGGAACCAGGAAACUGGCUGCUGCUCUCCAAUGCAUCGCCCAUAGAGGAGGGACGGAGCGAGCCAUGCAGAGUUCAGUAGCUGUGUCUAAUCCUGAACCGGAUGAAGUCACAGAAUCCAAACUACAGAACAGUAUUCUCCCCUGACAGUGUGACGGGCACAGGAACAGAUGGAUGAGGUUUACUUCUGCUCCUUCAUUGGUAUUAAACUGGAUUUCCUAGUCUCCUUCAGUUGUCUUUAGUAGAAGAUCUGCUUGGAAAAACAGGGCAGAUCAGUGCACUGGUUUAUGACGCACGCGAGUCAGAAUGUGCGGUACCAAAGUGUGGAGUCGAGCGCUGGAUCGGUUCUGGCCACUUCGCACGGGCCUGGCGCUUCGAGGAGCGGAAAACAAACAGGGGGAGGCUGCCAGGGAGGUUGCUAGAAAGAGAAACUGGCAGGCAGCGAGCGGAAGCAGAUAAACAGCAGACAGCUGCAGAGCUGCCUUUCAAAUCAACAGUUCACCAAAGGCCCCGACCAUCUGUCUCGUACGAGCUGUGGCCCACGUGCGGUACGUUCUCCUCCGCUUCCCGUCUCUGUGUCUGAUUCACACACUCAGUGGACACGCAGCUGAUUCAUCCUAAUCGGAAACAAAUAACGCAACACAGUUUUUCGUCUGACCUCGUGGAUCGGUCAAAGUUUAUUGAGAGUGUGGACUAACAGUCAUCUGGAUGAAUGACAGAUGAAAACAUGGCUGACUGCAACAUGUUCCACGCAUCAAAGGAACAUGACAACAGAUGACUUAUAAACCAGAGUCAUCAUUCAAAGAAUGCAUUACACUGCAACUAAGCAGCCUAAUUUUUAGACGUCAUUAAAUCUGUUAUUGUUUA
Molecule: long non-coding RNA, 1309 nt
Organism: Betta splendens (Siamese fighting fish)
Lineage: Eukaryota; Metazoa; Chordata; Actinopteri; Anabantiformes; Osphronemidae
Exons: 3
Source: RefSeq, a predicted model, not a curated record